GACGAACGCUGGCGGCGUGCCUAAUACAUGCAAGUUGAGCGCUGAAGGUUGGUACUUGUACCAACUGGAUGAGCAGCGAACGGGUGAGUAACGCGUGGGGAAUCUGCCUUUGAGCGGGGGACAACAUUUGGAAACGAAUGCUAAUACCGCAUAAAAACUUUAAACACAAGUUUUAAGUUUGAAAGAUGCAAUUGCAUCACUCAAAGAUGAUCCCGCGUUGUAUUAGCUAGUUGGUGAGGUAAAGGCUCACCAAGGCGAUGAUACAUAGCCGACCUGAGAGGGUGAUCGGCCACAUUGGGACUGAGACACGGCCCAAACUCCUACGGGAGGCAGCAGUAGGGAAUCUUCGGCAAUGGACGAAAGUCUGACCGAGCAACGCCGCGUGAGUGAAGAAGGUCUUCGGAUCGUAAAACUCUGUUGGUAGAGAAGAACGUUGGUGAGAGUGGAAAGCUCACCAAGUGACGGUAACUACCCAGAAAGGGACGGCUAACUACGU
Molecule: ribosomal RNA, 496 nt
Filed under: uncultured bacterium
Lineage: Bacteria
Description: partial 16S ribosomal RNA
Rfam family: Bacterial small subunit ribosomal RNA
Source: RNAcentral